GUGGUCCCAGCUCAGUGGUAGAGCACUUGCCUAGUGUGUGAGGCACUGGGUUCGAUUCCCAGCACCACA
RNAcentral lists this transfer RNA (69 nucleotides) under Ictidomys tridecemlineatus (thirteen-lined ground squirrel). Its description in RNAcentral is "Spermophilus tridecemlineatus (thirteen-lined ground squirrel) tRNA". It matches the Rfam family "tRNA". Rfam says of the family: Transfer RNA (tRNA) molecules are approximately 80 nucleotides in length. Their secondary structure includes four short double-helical elements and three loops (D, anti-codon, and T loops). Further hydrogen bonds mediate the characteristic L-shaped molecular structure. tRNAs have two regions of fundamental functional importance: the anti-codon, which is responsible for specific mRNA codon recognition, and the 3' end, to which the tRNAs corresponding amino acid is attached (by aminoacyl-tRNA synthetases). tRNAs cope with the degeneracy of the genetic code in two manners: having more than one tRNA (with a specific anti-codon) for a particular amino acid; and 'wobble' base-pairing, i.e. permitting non-standard base-pairing at the 3rd anti-codon position. Lineage: Eukaryota; Metazoa; Chordata; Mammalia; Rodentia; Sciuridae. The record is from Rfam by way of RNAcentral.